AAAUUGAAGAGUUUGAUCAUGGCUCAGAUUGAACGCUGGCGGCAGGCCUAACACAUGCAAGUCGAACGGUAGCACAGAGAGCUUGCUCUCGGGUGACGAGUGGCGGACGGGUGAGUAAUGUCUGGGAAACUGCCUGAUGGAGGGGGAUAACUACUGGAAACGGUGGCUAAUACCGCAUAACGUCGAAAGACCAAAGAGGGGGACCUUCGGGCCUCUUGCCAUCAGAUGUGCCCAGAUGGGAUUAGCUUGUUGGUGAGGUAACGGCUCACCAAGGCGACGAUCCCUAGCUGGUCUGAGAGGAUGACCAGCCACACUGGAACUGAGACACGGUCCAGACUCCUACGGGAGGCAGCAGUGGGGAAUAUUGCACAAUGGGCGCAAGCCUGAUGCAGCCAUGCCGCGUGUAUGAAGAAGGCCUUCGGGUUGUAAAGUACUUUCAGCGGGGAGGAAGGUGUUGUGGUUAAUAACCGCAGCAAUUGACGUUACCCGCAGAAGAAGCACCGGCUA
This 507-nucleotide ribosomal RNA is filed under the name Salmonella enterica. RNAcentral describes it as "bacterial SSU rRNA". It matches the Rfam family "Bacterial small subunit ribosomal RNA", at positions 1 to 499 of the family's 1533-position model. RNAcentral also lists the same sequence under 1 other name. Lineage: Bacteria; Pseudomonadati; Pseudomonadota; Gammaproteobacteria; Enterobacterales; Enterobacteriaceae. The record is from RNAcentral.